This 429-nucleotide ribosomal RNA is filed under the name uncultured bacterium. RNAcentral describes it as "bacterial SSU rRNA". It matches the Rfam family "Bacterial small subunit ribosomal RNA", at positions 355 to 776 of the family's 1533-position model. The record is from RNAcentral.
UGGGGAAUAUUGGACAAUGGGGGCAACCCUGAUCCAGCAAUGCCGCGUGUGUGAAGAAGGCCUUCGGGUUGUAAAGCACUUUAGGUUGGGAGGAAGGUGUGCAGUUUAGGAGAUAGCACAUUUGACUGUACUGACAGAAUAAGCACCGGCUAACUCUGUGCCAGCAGCCGCGGUAAUACAGAGGGUGCGAGCGUUAAUCGGAGUUACUGGGCGUAAAGGGCGCGUAGGUGGUUAGUUAAGUGAGUUGUGAAAGCCCUGGGCUUAACCUAGGAACCGCAACUUAUACUGGCUGACUGGAGUACAGUAGAGGGUGGAGGAAUUUCCGGUGUAGCGGUGAAAUGCGUAGAUAUCGGAAGGAACACCAGUGGCGAAGGCGGCCACCUGGACUGAUACUGACACUGAGGCGCGAAAGCGUGGGGAGCAAACAGG